Molecule: ribosomal RNA, 465 nt
Filed under: Vreelandella stevensii
Lineage: Bacteria; Pseudomonadati; Pseudomonadota; Gammaproteobacteria; Oceanospirillales; Halomonadaceae
Description: partial 16S ribosomal RNA
Rfam family: Bacterial small subunit ribosomal RNA
Source: RNAcentral
CCUACGGGGUGCAGCAGUGGGGAAUAUUGGACAAUGGGCGAAAGCCUGAUCCAGCAAUGCCGCGUGUGUGAAGAAGGCCUUCGGGUUGUAAAGCACUUUCAGUGGGGAAGAAAGCCUUGGGGCUAAUAUCCUCGCGGAAUGACAUCACCCACAGAAGAAGCACCGGCUAACUCCGUGCCAGCAGCCGCGGUAAUACGGAGGGUGCGAGCGUUAAUCGGAAUUACUGGGCGUAAAGCGCGCGUAGGCGGUCUGAUAAGCCGGUUGUGAAAGCCCCGGGCUCAACCUGGGAACGGCAUCCGGAACUGUCAGACUAGAGUGCAGGAGAGGAAGGUAGAAUUCCCUGUGUAGCGGUGAAAUGCGUAGAGAUCGGGAGGAAUACCAGUGGCGAAGGCGACCUUCUGGACUGACACUGACGCUGAGGUGCGAAAGCGUGGGUAGCAAACAGGAUUAGAUACCCGGGUAGUC